Molecule: non-coding RNA, 262 nt
Organism: Paramuricea clavata
Lineage: Eukaryota; Metazoa; Cnidaria; Anthozoa; Malacalcyonacea; Plexauridae
Source: the annotation of a GenBank genome assembly
GCCUUUGCUCGAAACGUCGAAGUUCCUUUUGUAUUUUCAGGUAGAUGAAUAUUUUACAGGGUCGCAGUUUUAAGCGUGCCUCCGUUUUUUUAAGUAACUCUCGACUUGACCGUUGCAUAUUUGUGUAAUAGUUCUUUGACAUUACAAUAAGCAUCGCCUGCAUCGGAAAGAAUUUUCACUCGUUACAUUUUGGAACGAGAUUAUUGAACAUUGUGGGAAAUAGCUAGAAAUGUACUUCCUUGGCUUGCAAUCUUCGUUAAAG